RNAcentral lists this non-coding RNA (31 nucleotides) under Bombyx mori (domestic silkworm). The record is from RNAcentral. Lineage: Eukaryota; Metazoa; Arthropoda; Insecta; Lepidoptera; Bombycidae.
UCAAGGAGCACGGUGGGGACUCUGUCCCUUA